RNAcentral lists this long non-coding RNA (731 nucleotides) under Lathyrus oleraceus (garden pea). Its description in RNAcentral is "Pisum sativum (pea) long non-coding RNA (PSAT_LNC004759)". The record is from RNAcentral. Lineage: Eukaryota; Viridiplantae; Streptophyta; Magnoliopsida; Fabales; Fabaceae.
CGCGUGCAUGUGUCCAUCAGAUCUACCACCUCAAUUAAUGAGGGGAAUUUGGUGGCCCUUAUUUUUUUUAUUUAUAUUUUUUUUCUUCUGAUUUUUCAAUUAAUCCACUUAUUUUGAUUAAUUCAUAUUAAUUUCAUUUUUAAGCCAAAAAAUAUGGGAUUUUCACCAAAAAUCUUUAAAUAUUUUCCUCUUUCAUUUUAUGAAUUAAAAUUAUUUUUUGGAUUAAAUUUGAUAUUUUUCUUGAUUUAAGUGUUUUGUUGUAUAUUUUUUAUUGUUUAAAAAUACUUAUGACUUUUCAAAAAUUAUGAAUUUUUUUGUCUAAGGUCCUCUGACCUUGUUUGAUCUAGGAUAAAUCUCUUGGACAUUUAUUUGGUGUUUUGAAGAGGUUUUAGGUUUUGAUCAAACUAAAUGUAAUUUAAAUGCAUUUUUUAUUUGAUUUUUAAUUGAUUAAAUGUAUAAAAUUUAUGUUGAGCCAUUUUUAUUGACUUGUGAUGUUGGACUAUGUGUUUGGGCCUUGGUCAAGGUUGAUUUGACUUUUGUUGGAUUAAAAUAAUUGGAUUUAGGGGAUUGAUGAAAUGUACAUUUUAUCUCCCAAAAUGAAUGAAUGAUUUUAAUUUGAUAAAAUUCCUAUCAUGACCGAUUUGUGUUUCUUUCAUUUCCCCUUCCUCUUCAUCUCCAAUCCAUUCUUUCCCAUCCCUUUCAUUAACCAAUGAAAUCUCAAGACCCUAAGG